GUGAAUCAUCAAAUCUUUGAACGCAAAUUGCACUCUUUGGUAUUCCGGAGAGCAUGCCUGUUUGAGGGUCAGUAAAUAUAAAAAUCGGUGUGUUUGCUGCCUUUCGUGGUGUUGCACUGGAUGUGGGUCGUCUUUGCUUCGGCUAAGUUGCCUAACAUUUUGCAUGAUUUUUUUGAACGUAUUAAACUGAUUUUACGUACGUUUGCGAUAUUGACUACCAG
RNAcentral lists this unclassified non-coding RNA (221 nucleotides) under Glomus sp. RNAcentral's name for it is "partial contains 5.8S ribosomal RNA and internal transcribed spacer 2". The stretch from base 1 to 71 matches the Rfam family "5.8S ribosomal RNA", at positions 84 to 154 of the family's 154-position model. The record is from RNAcentral. Lineage: Eukaryota; Fungi; Glomeromycota; Glomeromycetes; Glomerales; Glomeraceae.